This 481-nucleotide long non-coding RNA is filed under the name Ananas comosus (pineapple). RNAcentral describes it as "long non-coding RNA (ACOM_LNC032498)". Lineage: Eukaryota; Viridiplantae; Streptophyta; Magnoliopsida; Poales; Bromeliaceae. The record is from RNAcentral.
ACUGUUUCUUUAGGCACAAUUUAAAUUUGUUGGAGAUAAAUUAAUAUGAAUUUAAAUAUUUAUUAGAAUAAAAAUUCUAAUUAUACUAAGACUGUAGUACGUUUUAGAGGAUCUAUUAUAUAAUCAUUACUAGUGAAGGCCCGCGCUUCUCGGCGGAAAAUUUACGUAAUUUUUAAAAUAUUUUGAACAAAUUUUUUUAAUUUUUUAAUUUUUAAAUCUAAUUUAACAGUUUAAACUUUAAAAAAAUUCAAUAUAAAAUUAUAUAUAAUAAAUAAAUAUAUAUUUAGAAAUAAAAUUGUAUAUAUAUAUAUAAGUUAAAAUUAAAAAUUAAAAUUUAAAAUUCAUAUAAAAUUUAAAAUUUAAAAUUUAAAAUUGUAAAAUUCUCUCUCUCUUUCCCUCUCUCUCUCUCUCUUUCUCCCCUGACUCCCUCUCUCUCUUUUUCUCUCCCUCCCUGUGCAGAUGCUCUCUCUCUUCCCCUCUC